Molecule: ribosomal RNA, 433 nt
Filed under: uncultured bacterium
Lineage: Bacteria
Description: partial 16S ribosomal RNA
Rfam family: Bacterial small subunit ribosomal RNA
Source: RNAcentral
AACGAACGCUGGCGGCAUGCCUAACACAUGCAAGUCGAACGAGACCUUCGGGUUUAGUGGCGCACGGGUGCGUACCGCGUGGGAACCUGCCUUUAGGUUCGGAAUAACUCCCCGAAAUGGGUUCUAAUACCGGAUAAUGUCUUCGGACCAAAGAUUUAUCGCCUUUGGAUGGGCCCGCGUUGGAUUAGCUAGUUGGUAGGGUAAAAGCCUACCAAGGCGACGAUCCAUAGCUGGUCUGAGAGGAUGAUCAGCCACACUGGGACUGAGACACGGCCCAGACUCCUACGGGAGGCAGCAGUGGGGAAUAUUGGACAAUGGGCGAAAGCCUGAUCAAGCAAUGCCGCGGGAGUGAUGAAGGCCUUAGGGUUGUAAAGCUCUUUUACCCGGGAUGAUAAUGACAGUACCGGGAGAAUAAGCACCGGCUAACUCCGUG